Molecule: transfer RNA, 75 nt
Filed under: Caudoviricetes sp.
Lineage: Duplodnaviria; Heunggongvirae; Uroviricota; Caudoviricetes
Description: tRNA-Gly
Rfam family: tRNA
About the family: Transfer RNA (tRNA) molecules are approximately 80 nucleotides in length. Their secondary structure includes four short double-helical elements and three loops (D, anti-codon, and T loops).
Source: RNAcentral
GUGGGCAUGGCUCAAUGGUAGAGCAUCGGCUUGCCAAGUCGAAGGUUGUGGGUUCGAGUCCCAUUGCUCACUCCA